AAUGACUCUCGACAACGGAUAUCUCGGCUCUCGCAUCGAUGAAGAACGUAGCGAAAUGCGAUACUUGGUGUGAAUUGCAGAAUCCCGUGAACCAUCGAGUCUUUGAACGCAAGUUGCGCCCGAAGCCUUUUGGCCGAGGGCACGUUUGCCUGGGCAU
RNAcentral lists this ribosomal RNA (157 nucleotides) under Armeria splendens. RNAcentral describes it as "5.8S ribosomal RNA". It matches the Rfam family "5.8S ribosomal RNA". From Rfam's summary of the family: 5.8S ribosomal RNA (5.8S rRNA) is a component of the large subunit of the eukaryotic ribosome. It is transcribed by RNA polymerase I as part of the 45S precursor that also contains 18S and 28S rRNA. Lineage: Eukaryota; Viridiplantae; Streptophyta; Magnoliopsida; Caryophyllales; Plumbaginaceae. The record is from RNAcentral.